UACGUAGGUGGCAAGCGUUGUCCGGAUUUAUUGGGUUUAAAGGGUGCGUAGGCGGUUCAAUAAGUCAGUGGUGAAAUACGGCAGCUCAACUGUCGAGGUGCCAUUGAUACUGUUGGACUUGAGUACAGACGAGGUAGGCGGAAUUGACGGUGUAGCGGUGAAAUGCUUAGAUAUCGUCAGGAACACCCAGGGGGAAACCAGCCGACUGGGCAUCUACUGACGCUGAGGUGCGAGAGCGUGGGGAGCGAACCGG
RNAcentral lists this ribosomal RNA (253 nucleotides) under uncultured bacterium. RNAcentral describes it as "partial 16S ribosomal RNA". It matches the Rfam family "Bacterial small subunit ribosomal RNA", at positions 524 to 776 of the family's 1533-position model. The record is from RNAcentral.